RNAcentral lists this small nuclear RNA (18 nucleotides) under Arabidopsis thaliana (thale cress). Its description in RNAcentral is "snRNA_08529". The record is from RNAcentral. Lineage: Eukaryota; Viridiplantae; Streptophyta; Magnoliopsida; Brassicales; Brassicaceae.
GGUCCAUGUCCAUUAACG